RNAcentral lists this ribosomal RNA (3048 nucleotides) under Providencia rettgeri. RNAcentral's name for it is "23S ribosomal RNA". It matches the Rfam family "Bacterial large subunit ribosomal RNA". The record is from RNAcentral. Lineage: Bacteria; Pseudomonadati; Pseudomonadota; Gammaproteobacteria; Enterobacterales; Morganellaceae.
GGGUUGUGAGGUUAAGCGACUAAGCGUACACGGUGGAUGCCUAGGCAAUCAGAGGCGAUGAAGGACGUGCUAAUCUGCGAUAAGCGUCGGUAAGGUGAUAUGAACCGUUACAACCGACGAUUUCCGAAUGGGGAAACCCAGUGCAAUUCGUUGCACUAUCGUUUGAUGAAUACAUAGUCAAACGAAGCGAACCGGGGGAACUGAAACAUCUCAGUACCCCGAGGAAAAGAAAUCAACCGAGAUUCCCCUAGUAGCGGCGAGCGAACGGGGAACAGCCCAGAGUCUUAAUCAGCAUUAGCAUCAGGAGAACGGUCUGGAAAGUCCGGCAGUAAAGGGUGAUAGCCCCGUAUCCGAAGGUGUUAGUGUUGUGAACUCGACGAGUAGGGCGGGACACGUGUUAUCCUGUCUGAAUAUGGGGGGACCAUCCUCCAAGGCUAAAUACUCCUGAUUGACCGAUAGUGAACCAGUACCGUGAGGGAAAGGCGAAAAGAACCCCGGCGAGGGGAGUGAAAUAGAACCUGAAACCGUGUACGUACAAGCAGUGGGAGCCCCACCACCAAAGCAUUUUCUGGUGUUGAGGACAACUUUGAAGUGGCAUUCAACACGCGUUGACGGAGCGCUUUUUGCGACGUCCAACACACAAAACAAGCAGUGAAUGUGCUUUGGGGUGGGGUGACUGCGUACCUUUUGUAUAAUGGGUCAGCGACUUAUAUUCUGUAGCAAGGUUAACCGUAUAGGGGAGCCGUAGGGAAACCGAGUCUUAACUGGGCGAAUGAGUUGCAGGGUAUAGACCCGAAACCCGGUGAUCUAGCCAUGGGCAGGUUGAAGGUUGGGUAACACUAACUGGAGGACCGAACCGACUAAUGUUGAAAAAUUAGCGGAUGACUUGUGGCUGGGGGUGAAAGGCCAAUCAAACCGGGAGAUAGCUGGUUCUCCCCGAAAGCUAUUUAGGUAGCGCCUCGUGAACUCAUCUUCGGGGGUAGAGCACUGUUUCGACUAGGGGGUCAUCCCGACUUACCAACUCGAUGCAAACUACGAAUACCGAAGAAUGUUAUCACGGGAGACACACGGCGGGUGCUAACGUUCGUCGUGAAGAGGGAAACAACCCAGACCGCCAGCUAAGGUCCCAAAGUCAUAGUUAAGUGGGAAACGAAGUGGGAAGGCUCAGACAGCCAGGAUGUUGGCUUAGAAGCAGCCAUCAUUUAAAGAAAGCGUAAUAGCUCACUGGUCGAGUCGGCCUGCGCGGAAGAUGUAACGGGGCUAAACUAUGCACCGAAGCUGCGGCAGCGAUAUUUAGAUAUUGUUGGGUAGGGGAGCGUUCUGUAAGCCUGUGAAGGUGUACUGUGAGGUAUGCUGGAGGUAUCAGAAGUGCGAAUGCUGACAUAAGUAACGAUAAUGCGGGUGAAAAACCCGCACGCCGGAAGACCAAGGGUUCCUGUCCAACGUUAAUCGGGGCAGGGUGAGUCGACCCCUAAGGCGAGGCAGAAAUGCGUAGUCGAUGGGAAACGGGUUAAUAUUCCCGUACUGGUGAUAAUUGCGAUGGGGGGACGGAGAAGGCUAGGCUAUCCGGGCGACGGUUGUCCCGGUUUAAGAAUGUAGGCAGGUGAAUUAGGCAAAUCCGGUUCACUACAUGCUGAGGUUCGAUGACGAGUCACUACGGUGAUGAAGUAGCUCAUGCCCCGCUUCCAGGAAAAGCCUCUAAGCUCUAGAUUAUCAUUAAUCGUACCCCAAACCGACACAGGUGGUCAGGUAGAGAAUACUCAGGCGCUUGAGAGAACUCGGGUGAAGGAACUAGGCAAAAUGGUGCCGUAACUUCGGGAGAAGGCACGCUGGCGCUAGGUGAAGUCCCUCGCGGAUGGAGCUGAAGCCAGUCGCAGAUACCAGCUGGCUGCAACUGUUUAUUAAAAACACAGCACUGUGCAAACACGAAAGUGGACGUAUACGGUGUGACGCCUGCCCGGUGCUGGAAGGUUAAUUGAUGGGGUUAUCCGUAAGGAGAAGCUCUUGAUCGAAGCCCCAGUAAACGGCGGCCGUAACUAUAACGGUCCUAAGGUAGCGAAAUUCCUUGUCGGGUAAGUUCCGACCUGCACGAAUGGCGUAAUGAUGGCCAGGCUGUCUCCACCCGAGACUCAGUGAAAUUGAACUCGCUGUGAAGAUGCAGUGUACCCGCGGCAAGACGGAAAGACCCCGUGAACCUUUACUAUAGCUUGACACUGAACAUUGAGCCUUGAUGUGUAGGAUAGGUGGGAGGCUUCGAAGCGUGGACGCCAGUCUGCGUGGAGCCAACCUUGAAAUACCACCCUUUAAUGUUUGAUGUUCUAACGUUGCCCCGUUAUCCGGGGUGCGGACAGUGUCUGGUGGGUAGUUUGACUGGGGCGGUCUCCUCCCAAAGAGUAACGGAGGAGCACGAAGGUUGGCUAAGCAUGGUCGGACAUCAUGCGGUUAGUGCAAAGGCAUAAGCCAGCUUGACUGCGAGAGUGACGGCUCGAGCAGGUACGAAAGUAGGUCUUAGUGAUCCGGUGGUUCUGAAUGGAAGGGCCAUCGCUCAACGGAUAAAAGGUACUCCGGGGAUAACAGGCUGAUACCGCCCAAGAGUUCAUAUCGACGGCGGUGUUUGGCACCUCGAUGUCGGCUCAUCACAUCCUGGGGCUGAAGUAGGUCCCAAGGGUACGGCUGUUCGCCGUUUAAAGUGGUACGCGAGCUGGGUUUAGAACGUCGUGAGACAGUUCGGUCCCUAUCUGCCGUGGGCGUUGGAAGAUUGAAAGGGGCUGCUCCUAGUACGAGAGGACCGGAGUGGACGCACCACUGGUGUUCGGGUUGUCAUGCCAAUGGCAUUGCCCGGUAGCUAAGUGCGGAAGAGAUAACCGCUGAAAGCAUCUAAGCGGGAAACUUGCCUUGAGAUGAGUCUUCCCUGACCCUUUAAGGGUCCUAAAGGAACGUUUAAGACUAAGACGUUGAUAGGUUGGGUGUGUAAGCAUAGCGAUAUGUUGAGCUAACCAAUACUAAUGAACCGUGAGGCUUAACCUGACAACACCGAAGGUGUUUUAG